RNAcentral lists this long non-coding RNA (1307 nucleotides) under Chrysolophus pictus (golden pheasant). RNAcentral's name for it is "lncRNA (ENSCPIG00010010268.1)". Lineage: Eukaryota; Metazoa; Chordata; Aves; Galliformes; Phasianidae. The record is from RNAcentral.
CGGGGAGCUCCGUGGUGCCCUCGCGAGGGGGAGGGGCGCGGCGCUGGGCCCCCCGGGGAUGCCCGGGGCUGGGCGACGACCCCGCGGUAGCUCGGGCCCGUUCCCGGAGUGCGGUGUUCGGGGACGGCCCGGUUGCUGUAGCCCCGUCCCGGAAGGUGCUCCUGAGAUGCGACUGCUGAUAUCGGGUGUGGACUGCGCGGGUGCGGCGUUGCGAAUGAUGACCUAUACAACCUCAGCAAAUCCUUCUUUUAACUCAUGGGUAUCAAGACUCUAAAUGUUUCAUGUUACCACAACUAGGACCUCACUUCCUCCUCCUCCUCUUCCUCUGUAAAUGGGUACGAUGCAUCCAGUUCAGUUUGUUUACUUUACACAAACCUCAGGAGUUAGUUGACUGAGCUGCACAUCCUGUGUUGUGCCAAGCAGAAGCACUGUGACACCUGGACUAUGAGUCUCUCUUAAUCCUCUACCGUAAGGACUUAGCUGGCCACAAUGAACUGAUGUGCCCACCACUGUGUCAUGGUGAGAAUGGGUAUUUUACUAGCACAUUUACACAACUUCAUUUGCUGCUGAAAACCUGUAUGACAAAUCAUCCUUGUAAAUUAUUACAUACAAAACUUAAUGUUGGUUGAAGAGUAUUAAAUAUUUAACAUAGGUUUUGAUUUAUACAUGUACUUUUUUAAUUAAAAUGUAACUUUUCCUACAGCACAUCUUUUUUGAUGUGGAACUGAGGUAUACUAUAUUCUGUUGUAAACAGAGUGGGAAACCUAAUUAAAACAAGGCUUCUAAGAAUAGAGUAGGGUACUAUUCUUGUUUUAAGAUUGUAAUUCAGAAAAUAAUAUAAUACGAGUCAUUGGUCCCUGGGCCUUGAUUGUACAGUCAUAUUUGCUGAUACUAUCAGUUGUAAGAUAACCCUGAUGCUGAACUGAUUUCUUUCCAGAAGAAAAGUAAUUUUGUACUCCUUGUAAAAUAAUAAUCUGUAUUAACUACAAUGAAGACAAACUUUACUGUACAUGGUAUUUACAAGUGUCAACUUGAAUUCGUCAAUUGCACAGAAACUGACAAAAAAUCAGAAAAAAAGAAAUCAAAGUCUUCCAUUGUAUAUAUUGUAAAGAAUAGAAAUUAAAAAAAAAACAAAAAACAAAAAACAAAACAAAAAAAAAACAGAAAACCACAAAACAAUAUGAAAACAAAGGGUGAACUUUUCAAAUUAACUCUUUCCUUGGAAUGAAAAUGUGGGUGUUUGUAAAUUCUGGAAAUCUCUUUCUAUAUGUAAUAAACUAGAUACUGUUUUAUCUGCUGUAGUUUGU